UACAUGGGGUGCAAACGUUGCUCGGAAUUAUUGGGCGUAAAGCGCACGUAGGCGGUUCGUUAAGUCGGAUGUGAAAGCCCUCGGCUCAACUGAGGAAGUGCACCCGAAACUGGCGAGCUUGAGUACGAAAGGGGUAGCAGGAAUUCCCAGUGUAGCGGUGAAAUGCGUAGAGAUUGGGAAGAACACCAGCGGCGAAAGCGUGCUACUGGGUCUGCACUGACACUGAGGGACGAAAGCUAGGGGAGCGAAAGGG
This 253-nucleotide ribosomal RNA is filed under the name uncultured bacterium. RNAcentral's name for it is "partial 16S ribosomal RNA". It matches the Rfam family "Bacterial small subunit ribosomal RNA", at positions 524 to 776 of the family's 1533-position model. The record is from RNAcentral.